Molecule: long non-coding RNA, 912 nt
Organism: Ananas comosus (pineapple)
Lineage: Eukaryota; Viridiplantae; Streptophyta; Magnoliopsida; Poales; Bromeliaceae
Exons: 2
Source: RefSeq, a predicted model, not a curated record
AAUGGCAAUUUUUGGUAACCCGACAUGACGGAUUUUGGCGAGUUCGCAUUCGGAUCGCACCACUUAGCGUGUGGCUGUCCCAACACCCAAAAGUGAGUGUUUUGGGAUAGCAUGGAAGGCUGAAUUAAUUUUGGAGUCGUUCGGAAUGCUUUGGGGCUAAUUUGAGCCCCAAAAUGCUGAAAUCGAGCGAUUUCGGGUGUGGUUUCUUGUCGCGCAGGUUGUUGCUGUUCGCAACAGAGUAUGAGCCUUAUUGGCUGGUCUUAGUGUGAGGUUUGACACCUCUGGUCGCAGCACGAUGGCUGCGGGUGGCUCUGGUGCCGAAAGGCACCUCGGACGCCAAACCGGUGAUUUCCGGGACCACGGCUUUCAGUUUUGAUGCACUAUUUGUGCGGCUGCCCCAUUGGCAUUAAAUUGAUGUAUUGGGACAGCGAACGAGGUAGGCUUUGUGUGGGAUUUAUUUUGGAAUACCCUGUGGGUUGGGGUGACACUCUGACGAGUCGGUGCGACAAUCGGGCGAUCUUUCGGUGAUCGAGGAACGGGAUCCAAAAACCCGAUUGCUUUCUUGUUGGUUUCACUUGAAACCAUAGCUUUUAUAAUUAGUGGGUUCGAGCUAAUUACGUUUUGGGAGGACUUAGUAUAGGUACGGACUGUGGCGGGAGACAUUGACGGGUGUCGACAACCCGGUUACAUUCUUCAGUAGAGGUGAUGCGGGCAGUGAGAGUUGGGAUGGUGUGCGAGGAUAAUACUAGAUAGCCAACUUCCUGUUUGGUCCUUAUCGACCCUUAUAUCCAGUAUUUGUUUUGGCUUUUCAUGUCUGUUGGAUUAGUUUGGUUCUUCACCUGUUAAUGUACUUAUAUCAAUAGAUGUGAAAAUAAUUAUUGCUCUAUGAUUAUUGUUGUUUAAUGAGCAUUA